Molecule: long non-coding RNA, 1724 nt
Organism: Aegilops tauschii subsp. strangulata
Lineage: Eukaryota; Viridiplantae; Streptophyta; Magnoliopsida; Poales; Poaceae
Source: RefSeq, a predicted model, not a curated record
UCCACAAUUUUUGCCAGGAUCCAGGUUUUUUGAGUGAUUUUUUUGCUGCAACCAGUCAAAAAAUUUUCUACCAUCGUUUUCUUUUUUGCUACCACCGUAGGUAUCUUUUGAUUUCUUUUUGCUUAACUAGAUCCAUCUUUUUUGCUGGAAUCACUCAAACUUUUUGUUACCAUGGUCUUCGAUUUUUGCUACAGCCGUCUUAGUUUUUGCUACCAACCCGUUUUUGACUUUUUUGCUUGAUCCAUCUUAUUUUUGCUGGAACCACUCCAAGCUUUGCUAUAAUGGUGUUUGAUUUUUUCUACCACCGUCUUUUGUGUUUUGCUACUCCCCAUUUUCUGAUUUUUUGCUGGAUCGAUCUUUUUUGCUGGAACCAUUCAAAGAGAGAGAAAAAGGAGGCCGUGAAUGGCGUGGAGGGGGAUGCAAACAUAUUUUUUUUGCUACAACCAGCGUCCUAGGAAGCUUCAAUCGAAGGCAAUGAAUUUUGGGGACCGGCCACACCAUGCGACCGCGAAAGCUGGAACCGUCGCCGAAAAAAGCUUCAACCGUUUUGUGAAAAAGCUUCAAUGGGCGUGAGAAAAAAGCUGCAGCCGACGGCAUAGCGGUACGGCGACCGACGGCGAGUACGGCGACUGGUGGCGAGCUGGUGAUGCUUCAAGACAGGCCUCAAAGCGUCCAUGGCGGUGUCCAGGGCAAAAAGUUGGAUGCGAUUUUUUCUAGCAAAAGAAAGCGAUGCAAAAAGGUUGAUCUGACGGGGUUGGCAAAAAGAUAAACUGACGUGUCAGAUGUGACCGGUCGAACCGUUCCGCCGGUGCAUGCGUACAAGCCAAGGCUCGAACCUGCGUCGGCCACGAGACACACCGCCUCGCUGGCCACUGGGCUAGGAGCCCAUCCACUGUGAAGAUAAGAAUACGUAGAAUAUAUGUCAUUAAUUACCAAAUUAUUAUUCUACUUUAACUAUUGUGAACAAAAGUUAACUAAAAAUGGAGACCACCUUUUAGUACUUGGUCAUGAUAUCUUAUGGAUGCACUUCGAUAUCUUCGUCUAGAAGUCUAGAUAUGGCACGUCAUUUCAUAUCCUUUGGACAUUAUGUGUUAUCACUCUGGCUUUCAGUUGGGACCGCUUAUUAGUACUUGGUAAUCUUAUCUUGUGGAUGCACCUUUAUAUGUCUUUUUCUAGAAGUUCUGAGUUGCCACGUAAUUCCAUAUCCUUUUGACAUUAUAUAUUGUCCCUCUGGCUCUUGUCGGAAUGUAUACUGAAAGAAUGGACAGAAGGUCUGUCAUCGCUUGUUUUCUCGUGAUGCUUGUGUUGUUCGAAAGCGCAUCUGCAGACUGUGAGGAUGUUCAAUUUCAGAUCUUGUUCUGCAUCAAAUCAUCAUGCGAGGAUAUAUGCAAGUUUCAGUGGAAGGGUAAGAAGGUCUACAAUCCUUGGUGUGAUAAGUUCUUCGGUGGCUACUGCCACUGCAAGAUUUGCCAUGAUGGAUAGAACUUAAUGGAUAUGUUAGGCGCACUUCAUGCUAGAAAUAAAUAAGUCAUAACUUUGUGUCCUGAAUCACUGAUUUAUGCAUGGGAUUGUAUGUUUGGGAGAGCGUCAUGCCAUGUGAGACAUAAUCUAUACUAGAUAGGUUGGACACACUAUGCUGCGCCGUUGGUGUUGUUGGGUUUCCUAAAAAACAAUACUCACCAUGUUUCAAAAUAUGAGGUGUAUUAAUAUUUUGAAAAGUCCAA